This 377-nucleotide ribosomal RNA is filed under the name uncultured bacterium. RNAcentral's name for it is "bacterial SSU rRNA". It matches the Rfam family "Bacterial small subunit ribosomal RNA", at positions 524 to 898 of the family's 1533-position model. The record is from RNAcentral.
GACGAACCGUGCGAACGUUAUUCGGAAUCACUGGGCUUAAAGCGCGUGUAGGCGGCCCGAUGCGUCCGUCGCUGAAAGCCCCCGGCUCAACCGGGGAAGUGGCGUGGAUACGGUCGGGCUGGAGGGGGGUAGGGGGAUCGGGAACUUCCGGUGGAGCGGUGAAAUGCGUUGAGAUCGGAAGGAACGCCCGUGGCGAAAGCGCGGUCCUGGACCCCACCUGACGCUGAGACGCGAAAGCCAGGGGAGCGAACGGGAUUAGAUACCCCGGUAGUCCUGGCUGUAAACGAUGGGCACUGGGUAGGAGGCUCGCCGAUGGGCUUCCUGCCGCAGCGAAAGCGUGAAGUGCCCCGCCUGGGGAGUAUGGUCGCAAGGCUGAA